This 425-nucleotide ribosomal RNA is filed under the name uncultured bacterium. RNAcentral describes it as "partial 16S ribosomal RNA". It matches the Rfam family "Bacterial small subunit ribosomal RNA", at positions 354 to 796 of the family's 1533-position model. The record is from RNAcentral.
GUGGGGAAUAUUGGGCAAUGGGCGAAAGCCUGACCCAGCAACGCCGCGUGAAGGAAGAAGGUCUUCGGAUCGUAAACUUCUAUCCUUGGUGAAGAUAAUGACGGUAGCCGAGAAGGAAGCCCCGGCUAACUACGUGCCAGCAGCCGCGGUAAUACGUAUGAGGCAAGCGUUGUUCGGAAUUAUUGGGCGUAAAGGGCAUCUAGGCGGGAUAUUAAGUCAGGUGUGAAAGCCAAGGGCUCAACCCUUGAACUGCAUCUGAUACUGGUAUUCUUGAGUUCGGAAGAGGAAGGCGGAAUUCCCGGUGUAGCGGUGAAAUGCGUAGAUAUCGGGAAGAACACCGGUGGCGAAGGCGGCCUUCUGGUCUAGGACUGACGCUGACAUGCGAAAGUGUGGGGAUCAAACGGGAUUAGAAACCCUUGUAGUCC